CAAUAACACCUGUGAUCUUUUUACAGGCACACACAGUGGGUUAUUAGUUAAAACAGUUUAGUUAUUAAGAAUGCUAUAAACAUAACUAAAAUUAACUAGUUAUACUCUAUAAUAGAGAACUACUUUUUAAUUGGUUACAAAUACUUUUCUAUAACAUAUCUACAAAAGUUACAGUAUCAUUUCUAUAGUACAUUUCUAUUCUACCACAGAAUCACUCUUCCACGUUUUGAAUAAGCCUAUAAUUAACAAAUUUAAAAAAAGGAAAAUGAGAAGAACCACCAUAUGCAAAUUUAAUAAGCCUCAGGGCCUCAAAAAAAAACAACAAAAAAAACAAAAAAACAACGAAACCCUUUUGUAGUACAUUAAAACAACAAACAAACACAUCCCAAUCAAACCAACAACAGAAAAAAUAUAUAGCAAUAAAGUAAAACACAACUAAUACCCUUUUUUACAAAGCACAGACCUUAGGGCUGCACCGAAGCAAUAAAUAGUUUGAGACUUCCCCACCUGUGUCCAAUCUGCAGUUAGUCAUUAGAGUUCUAAAGGCAGCACGUGGAAGCGCUCCCACUAUUCCGUCUGUGAGCGUGAGAUGGCAUGGAGGUGCCUACAGCUGUUGGACUGUCACUCAAUCUAUACUACACCUCAUUGUGCCCAGGAGGGGUACAUCUAUGUCUCAGGCUGUGUGAGGAUGCCAAGACUCUUCACAGGACCAAGGCAUUGCUCCACUUCUACUGAGUCCUUGGUCUCUCUGAAGCAUGGGCUGCAAUUGGAGAACAAUUGGGUGUGUAGAGUAGUUGCUUCAGAAGCCCCCAUGGGAUUUAGGACUCAGGAACCCCUGCUGCAAACAAAUAAAGGCUGAGGUUUGGGCCAUCUGAGAAGAGUUCUUGUAAGUCAGAGGGGCUGCAGAAGUCAUUUAGCAGUAGCCCUAUGGCAAGUCUGUGCAGAGGAAAAGCAUUUUAGCACUGAAUUAUUUGGGGGUGUAAGUACUUUAAAUUUGCACCAGAAGCCUUUCCUUCUAAGCAUUUUAAUCUUAGAGCAAUGCUAAUCUUAAGAUCUCAAAACAAGAAUACUGCUUUACUUUCAUUUGCUAUUUGAAAAGCAUUGCUACUUGAAGAAAAACUUUCAGGCAUAAUUUUAAGUACUUAACAGCAUUGUGUUAAUAGUCAUUAUGAAGAAAGAUGACCCCCAAAUACAUCAUGUAUUUUCCUCAGUGUCUGAUUCUCAGCCAGUGACAAAUUAUAAUACAGUUUUAGUAAUACUGCAUAAAGGAAUUCAGGAGCACUUGACAGAAUACACACAAAAUUGUAUGGUUAUAUGUGAUGUGUAAUAUAGCACAGAAUUUUGAGUCUCAUAGAUGCUGUGACUCCUUUCUUCAAGAUUUACUUGUCUGGCAGUUUUGAAGCUGUGUUUAUCUCUGUGUAAUGGCUGCAGGUGUCUCUGUCAAAGAGGAAGGUGAAUAGGCUCUAGAAUCAGCUUGGACAAUUUGCAUGUGUUUCUGGUAUGUAUGGUGUGUUCUCCCACAGUUUUCAGGAUGAUUGUGUCUAUUUAUCUUUCUCCAGAGAAAAUAUCCAUCUUUUGGAUGGAGAGAAACUGUGUUCAUGCAGCAGAAAUAAUAGGCAGGCAAAGCUGUGACUUGCAAGUGGUUUUUGCAGUGUAAUUGAUUUCCAAAUACUUGGUCAUUAUUUAGGAAUCUGUGGGUAUUUUCUUGUCUCUGAUUCAGAUUGUUUCACCUUCUGUGAGUAUUCUGCUUAUGCAAGUAACAUGGAAAGAAAUUCAGGGCUUUCCUCAGGUAUCUGAGCUCCACUUGCUGCAGUCAUGUGUGCCAAUCAUAGUCUUGCCUGCAUCUGAAUUGACCAAUUGAGCAUCAGAGGUAGAGGUGGGGCAGCUGGGACCUCUAUCAUACUGUUCAGGUAGUGUAUAUUGUGUGCUUGAAGUGCCAUUUUGUAUGGAGAUGUGCAAAUGCUCUGUUACCUUGGUCUUAUAUUAGGCUUUUUAACAAAUGAGUGAACUGUAGUCUUGCUAUUCUGCCGUAAGUGUCAUUCACUCAUUUAAGAGUCAAAUUUAGAGACCUGUUUAGUUCCCAGAAUAAAAAGAAAUAGUUUGCCCUGCA
Molecule: long non-coding RNA, 2110 nt
Filed under: Phasianus colchicus (ring-necked pheasant)
Lineage: Eukaryota; Metazoa; Chordata; Aves; Galliformes; Phasianidae
Description: lncRNA (ENSPCLG00000010579.1)
Source: RNAcentral